Molecule: microRNA precursor, 208 nt
Filed under: Oryza glumipatula
Lineage: Eukaryota; Viridiplantae; Streptophyta; Magnoliopsida; Poales; Poaceae
Description: MIR812 microRNA precursor family
Rfam family: MIR812 microRNA precursor family
Source: Rfam by way of RNAcentral
AAUAAAUACAGCCGUGGAUAUCCGUGCCCAACGUUUGACCGUCCGUUUUAUUUGAAAAUUUUAUGAAAAAUUUGAAAAUAUUUAGUCACACAUAAAGUACUAUUCAUGUUUUAUCAUCUAAUAGCAAUAAAAAUACUAAUCAUAAAAAAAAUUUAAAUAAGACGAACGGUCAAACGUUGAACGUAAAUAGUGCAAAACUAUAUUUAUU